RNAcentral lists this transfer RNA (52 nucleotides) under Weissella viridescens. It matches the Rfam family "tRNA", at positions 21 to 71 of the family's 71-position model. From Rfam's summary of the family: Transfer RNA (tRNA) molecules are approximately 80 nucleotides in length. Their secondary structure includes four short double-helical elements and three loops (D, anti-codon, and T loops). The record is from Rfam by way of RNAcentral. Lineage: Bacteria; Bacillati; Bacillota; Bacilli; Lactobacillales; Lactobacillaceae.
GGACGCCUGCCUGUCACGCAGGAGAUCACGGGUUCGAACCCCGUUGUGACCG